RNAcentral lists this ribosomal RNA (357 nucleotides) under Triticum aestivum (bread wheat). RNAcentral's name for it is "partial small subunit ribosomal RNA". Lineage: Eukaryota; Viridiplantae; Streptophyta; Magnoliopsida; Poales; Poaceae. The record is from RNAcentral.
AUGGCGUACAAGUUGGAAUUGCCGGUGGACUGGAGGAUCCACCCAGUCUUUCACGUGUCCCAGCUCAAGCCGUUCACUCCCAACUACACUCCGGUCUUCGCCGAGCUGCCACGACCUCCAGACCUCGCCGGCCACGACGACGCACCAGUGGAGAUCCUGGAGCGGCGCAUGGUCAAGCGUGGCAACAACGCUCUGGUGCAGGUCAAAGCGCACUGGCGCCACGACGGGACGACAACGACGUGGGAGGACUACGACACUCUGCGCCACCGCUUCCCGCACGCGCCGGCGUGGGACACUCAAGUCACCAAUGAGGCAGAUCAGCACGCUGCAACUGAAGACGGAGCUCGUUCUGAAUAA